This 539-nucleotide ribosomal RNA is filed under the name uncultured bacterium. Its description in RNAcentral is "bacterial SSU rRNA". It matches the Rfam family "Bacterial small subunit ribosomal RNA", at positions 356 to 896 of the family's 1533-position model. The record is from RNAcentral.
GAGGAAUAUUGGUCAAUGGACGGAAGUCUGAACCAGCCAAGUAGCGUGCAGGAUGACGGCCCUAUGGGUUGUAAACUGCUUUUAUGUGGGAAUAAAGUGGCGCACGCGUGCGCCAUUGCAUGUACCUCAUGAAUAAGGACCGGCUAAUUCCGUGCCAGCAGCCGCGGUAAUACGGAAGGUCCGGGCGUUAUCCGGAUUUAUUGGGUUUAAAGGGAGUGUAGGCGGUCUGUUAAGCGUGUUGUGAAAUUUAGGUGCUCAACAUUUAACUUGCAGCGCGAACUGUCAGACUUGAGUACACGCAGCGCAGGCGGAAUUCAUGGUGUAGCGGUGAAAUGCUUAGAUAUCAUGAGGAACUCCGAUCGCGAAGGCAGCCUGCGGGAGUGUUACUGACGCUUAAGCUCGAAGGUGCGGGUAUCGAACAGGAUUAGAUACCCUGGUAGUCCGCACAGUAAACGAUGGAUGCCCGCCGUUGGCGCCCUGCGCCUGCGGCCAAGCGAAAGCAUUAAGCAUCCCACCUGGGGAGUACGCCGGCAACGGUG